UACGGGGGGGGCGAGCGUUGUUCGGAAUUACUGGGCGUAAAGGGCGCGUAAGCGGGCGGGUAAGUCUCUCGUGAAAGCCCACGGCUCAACCGUGGAAUUGCGGGAGAUACUACUUGUCUUGAGUCCGGGAGAGGAGUGUGGAAUUCCCAGUGUAGCGGUGAAAUGCGUAGAUAUUGGGAGGAACACCGGUGGCGAAGGCGGCACUCUGGACCGGAACUGACGCUGAGGCGCGAAAGCUAGGGGAGCAAACGGG
Molecule: ribosomal RNA, 253 nt
Filed under: uncultured bacterium
Lineage: Bacteria
Description: partial 16S ribosomal RNA
Rfam family: Bacterial small subunit ribosomal RNA
Source: RNAcentral